CCAGCCGCCGCGGUAAUACGUAGGUGGCAAGCGUUGUCCGGAUUUACUGGGCGUAAAGCGAACGCAGGCGGAUACUUAAGUAGAGAGUGAAAGGCGGGAGCUCAACUCCUGGACUGCUCCCUAUACUGGGUGUCUUGAGUGGCGGAGAGGAAGAUGGAACAAAUCGUGUAGCGGUGAAAUGCGUAGAUAUGAUUUGGAACACCAAUGGCGAAAGCAAUCUUCUGGACGCAUACUGACGCUGAGGUUCGAAAGCCAUGGUAGCGAACAGGAUUAGAUACCCUGGUAGUCAUGGCCAUAAACGAUGUUCACUAGGUGUCGGGGCUUCGCCUCGGUGCCGCAGCUAACGCAUUAAGUGAACCGCCUGGGAACUACGGCCGCAAGGUUGAAACUCAAAGGAAUUGGCGGGGGCCCGCACAAGCGGUGGAGCAUAUGGCUUAAUUCGAUGCAACGCGAAGAACCUUACCAAGGUUUGACAUGGAUCUGCAAGCGGUAGAAAUAUCGUCGCCUUCGAGGGUGAUCCACAGGUGGUGCAUGGCUGUCGUCAGCUCGUGUUGUGAAAUGUUGGGUUAAGUCCCGCAACGAGCGCAACCCACAUGUUCUGUUGCCAGCGGGUAAUGCCGGGAACUCGGAACAAACUGCCUCUGUAAAGAGGAGGAAGGUGGGGAUGACGUCAAGUCAUCAUGCCCCUUACAUCUUGGGCUGCACAUAUGCUACAAUGGCCGGUACAAAGAGUUGCUAACCCGCGAGGGUGUGCUAAUCUCAAAAAGCCGGUCUCAGUUCGGAUUGGAGUCUGCAACUCGACUCCAUGAAGUUGGAAUCGCUAGUAACCGCAGGUCAGCAAUACUGCGGUGAAUACGUUCCCGGGCCUUGCACACACCGCCCGUCACAUGACGGAAGUCGGUUCUACCCGAAGCCGCUGCGCCAACCGCAAGGAGGCAGGCGUCGAAGGUAGAGUCGGUAACUGGCGUGAAGUCGUAACAAGGUAACCAA
RNAcentral lists this ribosomal RNA (990 nucleotides) under uncultured candidate division WYO bacterium. RNAcentral describes it as "bacterial SSU rRNA". It matches the Rfam family "Bacterial small subunit ribosomal RNA", at positions 508 to 1503 of the family's 1533-position model. The record is from RNAcentral.